Molecule: ribosomal RNA, 678 nt
Filed under: Triticum aestivum (bread wheat)
Lineage: Eukaryota; Viridiplantae; Streptophyta; Magnoliopsida; Poales; Poaceae
Description: partial small subunit ribosomal RNA
Source: RNAcentral
AUGUGGGCGGUGCCCAUGAGGAAGCAUGGCAUGGUGCCGGAACACAGCUUCUUCCAAGCUCUCAGCUCAUGGCUGAUUGCAAUAAUGCCGGACAAAUUCUACGACAAGGUGGAGCAGGGAAGCAUUAUCCUCAAGAAAGCAAACGAAUUUAGCUUCUGCAAGGAAGGUGUCAUUGUACAAGGCGAGCCCGCGCCGAUCAAGAGCGACGUCGUGAUCUUUGCGACCGGGUACAAUGGGGAUCAGAAGCUCAGAGAGUUGUUCACCUCACCUCUGUUCAGAGAGAUCGUUGUUGGCACGCCAGCUACUGCGGUCCCUCUCUACAGGCUAUGCGUUCACCCCAGGAUUCCUCAGCUAGCAAUCGUUGGCUACUCUGAGAGCAUGGGAGAUCUACACACCUCGGAGAUACGGUCCAAAUGGCUGGCGCAUUUCCUUGAUGGGGGAUUUUGUUUGCCUGCCAUAAGAUCAAUGGAGGAAAAUGUGAAGGAAUGGGAGGCAUACAUGAAACGCUACUCGGGCGACUACUUCCGUCGAUCUUGCGUUGCUUCUAUCGGUAUCUGGCACAACGACCAGCUGUGCAAGGACAUGGGCUGUGAGCCUAGGAGGAAGAAGGGAUUUCUGGCUGACUGGCUGAUUCCCUAUGAACCUGUAGAUUAUGCAGGUGUCAAUCUGAGGAACUAG